GAAGAGUGGGUAAAAACGGCGAUGAUUGAUGACUUGAUGGUGGUGGAGCUCCUUAUGCGGCUAAACCAAUCUCAACAUCCGCCGCCUCCGCCGUCGGGGGAGAUUAAGCAGCUUAAGUGGAGCGUCCGUCAACGCCGGUCCAGACCUGCCACAGUUAAGCCGGCUACCAGAGCCAGCCCUACGACGCCACUGUCAUGGAGCGGUGGUGCCACCUCUCUCAGUGGCGGCUCUGGUGGCCGUGACGAAUCCAGUCAUUCUCCUCCCAAACUCUCUCACCAUGAAAGAUCUAAGGUUUGUAGCACAAAAUAUAUUAUACUCUAUAUAUUUAGAUACAGAUUACAAUAGAUAUUACAUAAUCUAUACCGACAACCGGUUACUUUUCCGGCGGACGGCGUGUUCUUUGCCACCGGAGUGUCUUUUCGUUUUUCUCUCCAUUAGAGUCUCGGGUCAGUUCCCAAUGGUUGCGGAAUUUGUUUAUGGACGGAAUUACCCUUGGAAAUUUACUGCCACGCGCCUAGGAGAAUCAGAUUCAGCUUUAUAGGUUUAGUUAUUAGCUUGACCAUUGCUGUCUAUCACCGGUACACACGACCAUUGGACUGCUUAGGCUUUUAGGCUGUGAAUAUUUUGUUGACCAAAAUACCCUUCCAAGUUUUUGUCUCGUCUUUGGGUGAUAAAUUAGUGCCCUGUUUGACCCAUUAAUUUUCAUUCCAUUCCAUUACAUUUCAUUUUAUCACUCUUAUAUUAAACGUAAAUUGAAAAUUUUCUCUUCUUUUUCAAUCACUCAUUUUUCAAAAAAAUACUAUUUCACCCAUUUUCAUUGCUAGAUCGCACACUUUCAAUUAAUAUUACAUAUCAAACCCGACCUUUAUUUUAGCUCAUUUUAGUUGGUUCUUUCUUUGGUCAAUUUUCUACCCACCUGCUGGACCUCAUUACUCUGCGUAUUCCUGUCAAUCCUAUGAGGUUGCCCAAUUACAAAAUUAACCCUAUAUAUUGAAAGGCUAAAUGCGUCAUUUGACUCAUUCCUUCUUGAAUUGGCCAAUAAAGUGUCUAAGGAAAGUCCUUGGGGUCACCCAGCCUUCAGCCAUCCAAGUCAAACUUUCCUCCACAAAAUUACCUCAUUAAUCUCGAUGGAAUUGGAUGACAGUGAAGAGUGAGGGGUAUUUCGGUCAAUUCAAUUAGUAGGGUGUUGUUAUGCUACCUGUUUAUACGGUGGCGUGUUUUCGUGGCAAGAUAGGUAUGCGUUCAGUUUGGUGGUGUGUUGUGAGUGGUUGUACACUUUAUUAAGAACUUUCCACUUUUAUAUUAUGGGGAAUAAUAUAUUGUGGUUCGGACCAAUUUAGCUAAACAUGCACCCUCAAAAUCUAGUUAUUAUCCAUAUCUUCUUGUCCUUAUUUUCCAACCAUCUCAUGCCACUCGUACACAACGAAUGCGAACAUUUCGAAGCACGGCACCCACUGUACCAAGUUAUUUUAUCAUGUGAAUGAAUCCACAACUAAAUAAAGUAGUGAGAAAUAUCUCAUCACAAAAGUACACAGAUAAAUAUAUAUAUCAUGUCAUAGUACCACAUUUAUUAUUAUACUUUUCCUCCACAUUUUCCUUUGCCACCACCAUUCCUUCUCCUUCUUCUCUCCCAAAUUUCUACAUAUAUCUCUGCGUAUAACUGUCUCUAUAUUACGGUAAACAAGAGAUAUGAGUGAGGACGAAGAGUGGGUAAAAACGGCGAUGAUUGAUGACUUGAUGGUGGUGGAGCUCCUUAUGCGGCUAAACCAAUCUCAACAUCCGCCGCCUCCGCCGUCGGGGGAGAUUAAGCAGCUUAAGUGGAGCGUCCGUCAACGCCGGUCCAGACCUGCCACAGUUAAGCCGGCUACCAGAGCCAGCCCUACGACGCCACUGUCAUGGAGCGGUGGUGCCACCUCUCUCAGUGGCGGCUCUGGUGGCCGUGACGAAUCCAGUCAUUCUCCUCCCAAACUCUCUCACCAUGAAAGAUCUAAG
Molecule: long non-coding RNA, 1992 nt
Filed under: Olea europaea (common olive)
Lineage: Eukaryota; Viridiplantae; Streptophyta; Magnoliopsida; Lamiales; Oleaceae
Description: long non-coding RNA (OEUR_LNC003768)
Source: RNAcentral